UGGUUCUGAAAGGUUCAAAAUAUAGGACACUGAAUUUGUCUGCACUAGAAUGGUGACUGAUAUCAAACUGGAGAAAGGCUGGUGUUACGUCUCUUGCUCAAGGUGCACAAAGAAUCUCCAACGGACGGUGUCAUCCUUGCGUGACCUGCAGUUAGGGAUGUUAAGUCAUGGGUUAGAGCCCAACCCUCUCUAGUGUAAUAUAAGCUCAGCCCUAUUUUAACCCAGUCCUAUUUUAACCCUUCUUUGAUUAUAGGGUUAGGGUUGGUAGUAAGGUUAGCCCAAUUAAUUUUUAUGCAAUGUAAUAAUGUUUUGUAUAUCAAAUUUAAUCAAAGUUUGCAUGUUUUUAAAAACUUAAAAUAUGAUUAUAUAAAUGAAAAAAAGUCCUCAAAUUCAAAGUAUGAAAUUAGGAAAACCAAAGUUUACAUGUUUUUAUUCAUGAAGUGUAAAAAUCAAAGUUCCAACUUAACUUUAUAAAGUGUAAAAAUCAAAAACAAGAGAGAUGGCAGUCACUAGAAGUUCUAGUCUAGAACAAACAUGAGACAACUAAAGAUCGAUUUCAACAAACGAAAAGAACAUCCAAAAAAAAAGAUGAAACAAAUGUCAUGAGCUAAAGCAGUCACAAACUGAUAAACAAGCAUGUGAACUACAAGAGUAUGCAGUCUGCAAAAGAUCCUCAGUUCUUUAACUUACACGUAUGAUACAAAGAAAGAAAGGUACUAAACACAAUCAUUACAUGGCUAAUAAGAACAAACCCACAAAUCAUUACUUGGCACAAGUUUCAACGUUUACUCUCUGACUAAAUCCGACUAUGAAGGCAAUCAGAUACCUAAAGAAGAAUAAAACCAGUGAUCAGACACAAUUCAUAAAAGCUUUUUUUGUCCAAAACAAAGCUAAACAACUAAAACUCAAGUUACAGAAGUUACCAAAUGCUUGAUAUAACAGAGAAGCAAACCACAAAGAUAAUGAGCUAUAAGAGAACACAUUCAAGUUGCUAAAACAGAGUAUUUACAGUCAAUCAGGGAAAAAGCUUUGCAAUCACAAGUUCAAUCAAAGUUACAGACUGUUUCAAACAAGUGAUUAGUUGACUAACAGAAAGUUCACAAAGAGCUAAAACGUUCUUUCCAAAAAAGAGACAAUCUCAAUUCUACAACAAUCCAUCAGUUCAAAAAGCUUUAUCAUCUCGCCAUUAGCUUAAAAGAAUCACAGUAUCACAAGACAGCAAGAUACAGUUUACUAGUAGUCUAGUAUCAUAAAGAUCAUAACAUCAGUCUCAGAUUUUCAACAAACCCACAAACUCUAGAGAUCGAUUUCAACAAACCCAGAACAAAACUAGAAGAACGUACCUCACAUAAUGCUUAUUGGAGAAGACGGAUACAACCCCGACGACGCUCUUCGAAAUCGAUCUCUAGGGUUGGUGUGUUCGUUGAAAUCAAUCCAGGAGCAGCAGAACUUGAUGAGGACGUCGUGUUAUCGGAUUUGAAUUUGAGCAGCUUCGUUCAGAUUCUAGGGUUCACGUUGCGAUCCUCUUU
RNAcentral lists this long non-coding RNA (1529 nucleotides) under Brassica napus (rape). RNAcentral's name for it is "long non-coding RNA (BNAP_LNC015731)". The record is from RNAcentral. Lineage: Eukaryota; Viridiplantae; Streptophyta; Magnoliopsida; Brassicales; Brassicaceae.